This 56-nucleotide transfer RNA is filed under the name Centruroides limpidus. RNAcentral's name for it is "tRNA-His". The record is from RNAcentral. Lineage: Eukaryota; Metazoa; Arthropoda; Arachnida; Scorpiones; Buthidae.
AUCUUAAUAGUUUAUAUAAAACCCUAGCCUGUGGAGCUAAAGAAUAGUUUAAGAUA